Molecule: ribosomal RNA, 358 nt
Filed under: Escherichia coli
Lineage: Bacteria; Pseudomonadati; Pseudomonadota; Gammaproteobacteria; Enterobacterales; Enterobacteriaceae
Description: bacterial SSU rRNA
Rfam family: Bacterial small subunit ribosomal RNA
Source: RNAcentral
GGGAUGACGUCAAGUCAUCAUGGCCCUUACGACCAGGGCUACACACGUGCUACAAUGGCGCAUACAAAGAGAAGCGAUCUCGCGAGAGCAAGCGGACCUCAUAAAGUGCGUCGUAGUCCGGAUUGGAGUCUGCAACUCGACUCCAUGAAGUCGGAAUCGCUAGUAAUCGUGGAUCAGAAUGCCACGGUGAAUACGUUCCCGGGCCUUGUACACACCGCCCGUCACACCAUGGGAGUGGGUUGCAAAAGAAGUAGGUAGCUUAACCUUCGGGAGGGCGCUUACCACUUUGUGAUUCAUGACUGGGGUGAAGUCGUAACAAGGUAACCGUAGGGGAACCUGCGGUUGGAUCACCUCCUUA